AGAUAAACGUAGAAGAGGAUAAGUAACAGCGGAAACGCCGUCUGCAGAGAGCCGGGAUUGCUGAAAACCGGUGGCGGCCUCCGCUUGCGAACUCCCCUCUGAGUGCCGGUUUGAACGAUUCGUCAGAAUUUAGUAGGGCCGGCCGGGUGAACCGAAUCGAUCACUCGUUAUUAAAGCGGAUAUAGUUAUCCAUAAGGCGGCCGUAACGGCCGUGAACAAGGGUGGUACCGCGGAAAGAAAAGCCUUUUCGCCCCUUUG
This 258-nucleotide non-coding RNA is filed under the name Bacillus glycinifermentans. RNAcentral describes it as "T-box sequence". It matches the Rfam family "T-box leader". Rfam says of the family: Uncharged tRNA acts as the effector for transcription antitermination of genes in the T-box leader family. T-boxes are found upstream of many aminoacyl-tRNA synthetase genes and some amino acid biosynthetic genes usually in Gram-positive bacteria. Lineage: Bacteria; Bacillati; Bacillota; Bacilli; Caryophanales; Bacillaceae. The record is from RNAcentral.